This 237-nucleotide unclassified non-coding RNA is filed under the name Hevea brasiliensis (rubber tree). The record is from RNAcentral. Lineage: Eukaryota; Viridiplantae; Streptophyta; Magnoliopsida; Malpighiales; Euphorbiaceae.
GCUGUCACUGCACUUCUUAACCUUUCCAUAUGUGAAGAUAACAAAGGAAACAUCAUGUCAUCUGGGGCAGUUCCUGGUAUAGUGCGUGUGCUCAAGAAGGGCAGCAUGGAAGCUCGGGAAAAUGCAGCAGCUACCCUUUUCAGUCUUUCAGUUGUGGAUGAAAAUAAAGUUAUAAUAGGUUCUUCAGGGGCCAUCCCACCACUUGCGACACUUCUAAGUGAGGGUACACAAAGGGGG